AGUGCGCGCACGUAGCUCAUCGGUGGAUGCACGUCUGCACGGCGUCGCAAUGCGGCCUGCGUCAUUUUCUCGUGUUCGCUUAAUCGGUGUGAGACAUGUCGCAUGUUAAAUGUUUGAUAGAAAUGCCUCCCGUCCAAGUGAAACGGCCGUGCGGGCUUCGGAAGCGUCGACGGGUUUCCGGCAUGCGGAUUUCAGAGUUCGGACUCGACUUUUGGUGAGGAUGUCAAUCGACGUUGGGCCUGGACACCGGACAUGGCCAAAGUGCAGCCUGUCAGUUGAGUGCCCCCGAUUGGACCAUCAAGAUCGGAAAAUGAAGCAGAGCCAGGGAGAAAAAUUUCCAGUAACGCAGUAUGGUGGCCCAGACGUAUGCAAGCAGCCUCCUUCAUGUGGACCAAGAACUACUCUUCAGUGUCUCGCAGACUUCCAUGCGAAGCCCUCAACAUUCUCGUCUCAGUGGAAUGGCUGCUCAUCUAUAAGCGUGUCCAUCACCAAGACUGCCAGUUGUAAAGCUUCUGAACCCCUUUAAGAAAGCUUAAUGAUGUUUUUAAUUUUCACAGUUGGCCGCAGAAUCUGAACAUUUUUGAUGUUUCUAACAUUUUUACCUGGUACAAAGCGGUUCAAUAACUUCAAACCAGUGUAAGGUAUUUAAGUGAUGCUCACUGUAAUGCCCAUCUGGUUUUGUUAGUGUUUAAGAAAUUUGAAUGUCUGAUGAGGUAACAGCAUUCCAAUUUGUCAUCGUGGCUCGUUUCAAUGAGCUGCUGGGAAAUAAGACUCAAAACUUACCACACGCCAGUUGUAGCAUUUUUGUUUUCAUGACUACAGUAUACACGUUUUAAAAGAUGGAGUGGGGAAAAAAGCCUAAAGAACAUAAUCAUCCUAGGAUUUUCAUGUCCAAUUAUUAAUGCCUCAUACAUCUUGGGAGUACAUUGGUUGCAAUGCCUACAGGUGUAUGUGAUAAGAGAAUAGCUUGCACCUAAAUUUGCCGCACAGUUGAUGGCUGAGGGCUCUUUUUUGUUGUCUUCAUGUUAUUACUAUGUAUUCAAUAUUCAUUUAGACGUAAAGGACACUCCAGGCACUGAGGUGCCAAAUGGCAAUCGCAUUUCAGGGGACAAAGUGUCCAGCAUGCUGUCACAAAACGUGUUCUAGGGGCUACCUUGCCUCUAUAGGUAAAUGGACACCCGAUGCUCUGUGUACAAUGUAAUUGGUGUACUUGUCUGGAGUGCUUGAAAGAUGUGCUACAGCCUGUACUGGCACUGUCUGAAGAUAAUGCAUGGUUCUAGAAAGCCUGCAGCUGAGUACCUGCCACCAUACUGAAGGAAGUGUCCUAAUUUAUUUUGUUGAUGUUGUUCAAAUUUAGGAGCUGCAAUGAGUAGUUCUGACUGUGGUAAUGCUGCCGAACUCAAGCACAAAUUACACACCUCGACUCACACAAUGUACUCUGAAAGUUUUGCUACGUGGUAUCUGUUUGCUACCUGACCUUAUGGCACCUUUACGAGUAGUCGCAGGUGAUAGCAGCUGCUGAGGCUUUAUCAACUGGCAAGGAGAAAAAAUGCUGUGCCACCAGUGUGGCUGCACACUCCGAGAUGCAAGCUAUCUUGAACCAGGUGUUCGGUAGACGGUACCUGUGCAGCCAAAACACUGUUUGAGCUCUAUCUGUUUGAGUUCAUCUGUACACAAGUGUGCUGUCACAGCAGAAGGUGGCGAACAAGCAGCAUUUUUACCGGUGUUGCUUCGAAACAUUAGUGCAAGUCAUUCUUUCACCAAGGCUGGUAAUCAUGCAUAGGUAAUGAGAACAGGACAUUUGUGACACACAAGGGGUCAUGUUUCUAAAUUUUGAUUAGAUCAGUAAUUUAUCAGAUGGAAUUAUAAAAAGUAUACAUUUUGUUCCUCAGUGGUCUCUUGGAGAGACAUGACCACUUCGGGCAGUUUAGUUUUUACUUUUUGUCUACAUUUGGUGUGCAUAUUGCAACUGUAACUAACUGUCAGUGCUCUGUCCUACCCAGGUUUUAUGCUGUCUUUGUGAUAUUUGCAAUAUUUUGCAGUUCAGCUGAGCGAAGUAUAUGUCUUUACUAUUGCUACUUUUCACGUUCCACAUUUCUGCAGUGCUCACUAGUUAUAACUAGCCAUGUUUUGUUCAGAUAUGUUCUUGGAUUGUAGCGCGAAGUCACAUGGACACAGACUAGAAGCAGACAGGAUGCGCGCUAACUGCCAACUAAAUUUUUUUUGAAACGAAGAUAUAGGUGAUUGCAAAAAACCGCAGCAUAAGAACAUGACAAGGUAUGAAGACAUCAGUUAAACAUA
Long non-coding RNA from Dermacentor albipictus, 2301 nucleotides. RefSeq lists it as uncharacterized. Lineage: Eukaryota; Metazoa; Arthropoda; Arachnida; Ixodida; Ixodidae. The record is from RefSeq and is a predicted model, not a curated record.